This 245-nucleotide long non-coding RNA is filed under the name Gossypium raimondii (Peruvian cotton). RNAcentral describes it as "long non-coding RNA (GRAI_LNC007150)". The record is from RNAcentral. Lineage: Eukaryota; Viridiplantae; Streptophyta; Magnoliopsida; Malvales; Malvaceae.
AUCGAUUUAACAAAAAAAGGGGGUUUUUUGUUUUUAAUUUUUUUGUUUUUGUUUUUUAAUUUCUGGGGGUUUUUCUGUUUUUAAAUUUCUGUGUUUUUAGGUGUUCGUUCGACAAUGACCGAGGAAGUUGAUGGAAACGGGUUGGGUUCAGUAGCUAAACGGGUGCUGGAUUUCGAUUCAAUGAUCGGGGAAGUUGAUGGGAACAAGAAAGAUCAAAAAAAAAUAUGAGAAUUAGGGAUUUGGAA